GAUGAACGCUGGCGGCGUGCCUAAUACAUGCAAGUCGAGCGAACGGACGAGAAGCUUGCUUCUCUGAUGUUAGCGGCGGACGGGUGAGUAACACGUGGAUAACCUACCUAUAAGACUGGGGUAACUUCGGGAAACCGGAGCUAAUACCGGAUAAUAUUUUGAACCGCAUGGUUCAAAAGUGAAAGACGGUCUUGCUGUCACUUAUAGAUGGAUCCGCGCUGCAUUAGCUAGUUGGUAAGGUAACGGCUUACCAAGGCAACGAUGCAUAGCCGACCUGAGAGGGUGAUCGGCCACACUGGAACUGAGACACGGUCCAGACUCCUACGGGAGGCAGCAGUAGGGAAUCUUCCGCAAUGGGCGAAAGCCUGACGGAGCAACGCCGCGUGAGUGAUGAAGGUCUUCGGAUCGUAAAACUCUGUUAUUAGGGAAGAACAUAUGUGUAAGUAACUGUGCACAUCUUGACGGUACCUAAUCAGAAAGCCACGGCUAACUACGUGCCAGCAGCCGCGGUAAUACGUAGGUGGCAAGCGUUAUCCGGAAUUAUUGGGCGUAAAGCGCGCGUAGGCGGUUUUUUAAGUCUGAUGUGAAAGCCCACGGCUCAACCGUGGAGGGUCAUUGGAAACUGGAAAACUUGAGUGCAGAAGAGGAAAGUGGAAUUCCAUGUGUAGCGGUGAAAUGCGCAGAGAUAUGGAGGAACACCAGUGGCGAAGGCGACUUUCUGGUCUGUAACUGACGCUGAUGUGCGAAAGCGUGGGGAUCGAACAGGAUUAGAUACCCUGGUAGUCCACGCCGUAAACGAUGAGUGCUAAGUGUUAGGGGGUUUCCGCCCCUUAGUGCUGCAGCUAACGCAUUAAGCACUCCGCCUGGGGAGUACGACCGCAAGGUUGAAACUCAAAGGAAUUGACGGGGACCCGCACAAGCGGUGGAGCAUGUGGUUUAAUUCGAAGCAACGCGAAGAACCUUACCAAAUCUUGACAUCCUUUGACAACUCUAGAGAUAGAGCCUUCCCCUUCGGGGGACAAAGUGACAGGUGGUGCAUGGUUGUCGUCAGCUCGUGUCGUGAGAUGUUGGGUUAAGUCCCGCAACGAGCGCAACCCUUAAGCUUAGUUGCCAUCAUUAAGUUGGGCACUCUAAGUUGACUGCCGGUGACAAACCGGAGGAAGGUGGGGAUGACGUCAAAUCAUCAUGCCCCUUAUGAUUUGGGCUACACACGUGCUACAAUGGACAAUACAAAGGGCAGCGAAACCGCGAGGUCAAGCAAAUCCCAUAAAGUUGUUCUCAGUUCGGAUUGUAGUCUGCAACUCGACUACAUGAAGCUGGAAUCGCUAGUAAUCGUAGAUCAGCAUGCUACGGUGAAUACGUUCCCGGGUCU
Molecule: ribosomal RNA, 1372 nt
Filed under: Bacillus sp. EPI-R1
Lineage: Bacteria; Bacillati; Bacillota; Bacilli; Caryophanales; Bacillaceae
Also listed under: 1 other name
Description: 16S ribosomal RNA
Rfam family: Bacterial small subunit ribosomal RNA
Source: RNAcentral